This 164-nucleotide ribosomal RNA is filed under the name Cyrba ocellata. Its description in RNAcentral is "partial 16S ribosomal RNA". The record is from RNAcentral. Lineage: Eukaryota; Metazoa; Arthropoda; Arachnida; Araneae; Salticidae.
UCAGACCGGUGUAAGCCAGGUCAGUUUCUAUCUUCUAAUAAAUAUUAUACNGUACGAAAGGNCCUAUAAUUAUAAUUAAAUUAUAAAUUUAGCAAAUAAAUGCNUUAAAUUUAGAAUUUAAUUAACCAAAAAUCAUAAUCUUCUCUUUAUUAAAUUUUUUAAUU